GAUGAACGCUAGCUCCAGGCUUAACACAUGCAAGUCGCGGGGCAGCAUGGGGGUUGCUUGCCAUCCCCGAUGGCGACCGGCGCACGGGUGAGUAACGCGUAUCCAACCUGCCCUUCACCACGGGAUAACCCGGCGAAAGUCGGACUAAUACCGUAUGUUGUCCAUUGACGGCCUCCGAUUUGGACGAAAGGCUUGGCGGUGAGGGAUGGGGAUGCGUCCGAUUAGCCAGACGGCGGGGUAACGGCCCACCGUGGCUACGAUCGGUAGGGGUUCUGAGAGGAAGGUCCCCCACACUGGAACUGAGACACGGUCCAGACUCCUACGGGAGGCAGCAGUGAGGAAUAUUGGUCAAUGGGCGUAAGCCUGAACCAGCCAAGUAGCGUGCAGGAUGACGGCCCUAUGGGUUGUAAACUGCUUUUAUGCGGGGAUAAAGUGGCCCACGUGUGGGCUUUUGCAGGUACCGCAUGAAUAAGGACCGGCUAAUUCCGUG
Molecule: ribosomal RNA, 490 nt
Filed under: uncultured bacterium
Lineage: Bacteria
Description: partial 16S ribosomal RNA
Rfam family: Bacterial small subunit ribosomal RNA
Source: RNAcentral